Molecule: ribosomal RNA, 119 nt
Organism: Xenia sp. Carnegie-2017
Lineage: Eukaryota; Metazoa; Cnidaria; Anthozoa; Malacalcyonacea; Xeniidae
Source: RefSeq, a predicted model, not a curated record
AGCUACGACCAAACCACAAGUAAAGCACUGGUUCUUGUCUGAUCACCAAAGUUAAGCCUUGUUGGGGGAAGUUAGUACUUAGAUGGGUGACUGCCUAGGAAUACUUCCUGUUGUAGAUU